Molecule: transfer RNA, 74 nt
Filed under: Alosa alosa (allis shad)
Lineage: Eukaryota; Metazoa; Chordata; Actinopteri; Clupeiformes; Clupeidae
Description: tRNA-Ile
Rfam family: tRNA
About the family: Transfer RNA (tRNA) molecules are approximately 80 nucleotides in length. Their secondary structure includes four short double-helical elements and three loops (D, anti-codon, and T loops).
Source: RNAcentral
GCUCCAGUGGCGCAAUCAGUUAGCCUUGGGUACUUAUAAUGCCGAGGUUGUGAGUUCGAGCCUCACCUGGAGCA